Molecule: long non-coding RNA, 1627 nt
Filed under: Mus pahari (shrew mouse)
Lineage: Eukaryota; Metazoa; Chordata; Mammalia; Rodentia; Muridae
Description: lncRNA (MGP_PahariEiJ_G0005801.1)
Source: RNAcentral
CAUGAAAGUUCACGUGCGCGAGCAUCAGAUGCAAGGAGCUACUGUUUGGGCGCACCUCUUUGAGAACUGGAACAGAGCCAGAAAGCUCCAACCAGAGUGUUAGAAACAUCUAUAACUACUCUAGAACCUUCCAGCUAGAAGACAAGCUUUGAAGACAAUGUGCCCCACCUGGAGGCUUGGGUGACUGAGACACUGAUCUAAGAAGUUUAUGUGCACAAAAUGGAUUUCCUAUUCCCUUAAAUAAUGGCAACAGUGUUUUUCAGCUGUUUCUAAUACUGGUAGGUUGUUGGAUAUACUGUUUAUAGUUCAUGAAAGCUUUAUUGCAAUUCAGUAUCCGACUUAUUAGAGAAACCAGGUAACACAACCAAGCCCCCUCUAGCCACCUGACAAAUGAAUUUACAAUGUAACGAUUUGCAUAGCACUGAGAACAGGCAGCCUCAACCUCAGAGGUCUGCCUGCUUUUGCCUCCUGAGUGAGUGCAGGGGUUAAAGAGGAGCAGGGCAGCAUCCGGCUGAGAAUGGAGCUAGGAAGGACUCAGGUACUAUGGGAGGUGAAGAAAGAAAAGAAUGAGAUCUAGAAUAGAUACAGUAUUGUGUGUGUACUGACCUUCCCCUUGAGACUGAAAACUUCACAUCUAUAGUUGCUAGCUGACAGCCUCCAGUUCUCAGACAGUCUGAAGACUGUUUUCUUUUUUUUGUUUUUGUUUUUGUUUUUCUGGCCCAAAGCACUGCUUUCUGCCAGUGUGUGGCAGUGCUGAAGAGCCCUGAUAGUUCUGGAGCAUCUCUAGUACUACCUAGGCUUGUUCUGACUCUAAGUUUGAGGCUCUGCUUGCUUCUUUUGCAGCUCUCAGGCGCUGAUCCCAGGGGCCUCCCUAAUGUUCCCCUAUGCUAAUUUGUUCUGAGCCAGCUUCCCAGGGAACUUGACCUAGAGUAAAUGCCACAGCAGCCCUACUCUGAUUGUUUAUUUGCACAGAUUAUCCCUGGCGAAUAUGGUUUGAUGUACUAGUUUUUAACUUUUACAAUGGUAUGAAACCAACACCAUUUAGUGUAAGUCUAAACUUCGAAUUUUGAUUUUGGUCAGUUCCCAGGCUUGUGAUAUGCAGGAAGGCAGGCUCAUGAAAUGUACCAAUGAGCUAUAGCUCUCAAAUCAGUUAUAGGAUCAUAAGUGUAAAUAAUUAACACUCUCUGUGCCAAUUUGCUAAAGUGUAAUAUUCCUACAGAUUAAGGGUAUGAAAUGCAUUUAUGACCUGUGGAAGAUAUUUUCAAUGCAUAUUGAAAUUAUCAGAACGUAACCACAGUUUAGAAGCCUCUAUAUACGGAAUACUCAUGUAGGAUUUUAUUGAAAGCAAAUCAAACUGGUUUCACACUUAAAUGGUUUAUCCAGUAAGGAAAAUUAUCAUUAUGGUUAUAUAUGUAAGACUAUUUUAUGGUUCAUCUUUCAAACUAACAUCAAGGGAGUAUUGUUUCUUUUUCUUAUUAGCCUUUGUAUUUAUGUUGCAUUUAUAAAUAUAUUCUUAUGCCUUAGAGCAGAAAUUUAUUAGCUAAUAGAAUGUGUCAUGACUAUUUUUAAUGUUCCUAACAUACCUAAAACCAAGAAUGUUCAUUAAUAAAAGUGACUGUAACAAACC